Molecule: long non-coding RNA, 232 nt
Filed under: Nicotiana benthamiana
Lineage: Eukaryota; Viridiplantae; Streptophyta; Magnoliopsida; Solanales; Solanaceae
Description: long non-coding RNA (NBEN_LNC028700)
Source: RNAcentral
UAUAAUCAUUACACAAUCUUUUAGUCAAAAAGUUGCCAGAAAUAUUUUGAAUAUUAGAACAACAAUCGAUUGUCUAAAGUUAACAAUCGAUUGUCAUUUUUUUAAAAUUCAAUAGAAAUCUUUUUAACCGGUUUUUAAGGAUCUUGUCUGUUGAAAAAGUGUUCCAACAAUCGAUUGUCGAAAAUCAACAAUCGAUUGUCAGGCAGAUUUUCAGGAGCGUUUUCUGGAACUA